RNAcentral lists this ribosomal RNA (616 nucleotides) under Pleosporales sp. RKDO1110. RNAcentral describes it as "eukaryotic LSU rRNA". It matches the Rfam family "Eukaryotic large subunit ribosomal RNA", at positions 36 to 667 of the family's 3401-position model. The record is from RNAcentral. Lineage: Eukaryota; Fungi; Ascomycota; Dothideomycetes; Pleosporales.
UAGCAUAUCAAUAAGCGGAGGAAAAGAAACCAACAGGGAUUGCCCUAGUAACGGCGAGUGAAGCGGCAACAGCUCAAAUUUGAAAUCUGGCUCUUUCAGAGUCCGAGUUGUAAUUUGCAGAGGGCGCUUUGGCGUUGGCAGCGGUCCAAGUUCUUUGGAACAGGACGUCACAGAGGGUGAGAAUCCCGUACGUGGUCGCUAGCCUUCGCCGUGUAAAGCCCCUUCGACGAGUCGAGUUGUUUGGGAAUGCAGCUCUAAAUGGGAGGUAAAUUUCUUCUAAAGCUAAAUACUGGCCAGAGACCGAUAGCGCACAAGUAGAGUGAUCGAAAGAUGAAAAGCACUUUGGAAAGAGAGUCAAAUAGCACGUGAAAUUGUUGAAAGGGAAGCGCUUGCAGCCAGACUUGCCUGUAGUUGCUUAUCCGGACUUUUGUCCGGUGCACUCUUCUGCGGGCAGGCCAGCAUCAGUUUGGGCGGUUAGAUAAAGGUCUCUGUCAUGUACCUCCUUUCGGGGAGGCCUUAUAGGGGAGACGACAUGUAACCAGCCUGGACUGAGGUCCGCGCAUCUGCUAGGAUGCUGGCGUAAUGGCUGUAAGCGGCCCGUCUUGAAACACGGACC